Small nucleolar RNA from Alosa alosa (allis shad), 68 nucleotides. RefSeq annotates it as small nucleolar RNA SNORD82. Lineage: Eukaryota; Metazoa; Chordata; Actinopteri; Clupeiformes; Clupeidae. The record is from RefSeq and is a predicted model, not a curated record. The transcript has a single exon.
AUCAACAUGAUGAACACUAAGGGACUUAAUACUGAAAUAUGUGAUGUCACUUUCAAAUGUUCUGAUGA